GGGCCUGUAGCUCAGUGGUAGAGCGCUCCCUUCGCAUGGGAGAGGUCGCGGUUUCGAUUACCUCUAGGUCCA
Monascus purpureus is the source of this 72-nucleotide non-coding RNA. The record is from the annotation of a GenBank genome assembly. Lineage: Eukaryota; Fungi; Ascomycota; Eurotiomycetes; Eurotiales; Aspergillaceae.